Molecule: unclassified non-coding RNA, 523 nt
Filed under: Hevea brasiliensis (rubber tree)
Lineage: Eukaryota; Viridiplantae; Streptophyta; Magnoliopsida; Malpighiales; Euphorbiaceae
Source: RNAcentral
GAAUCAAACAUCUCUAAUUCUUGUUCAGCUCUCUCUCUCUCUCUCGAUCUUCAUUUCAAGAUUUAUAAUGGCUUUUGCUGCAUUCAAGUCCUUGGCUGUUGUUUUCUUGGUGGCAGUCUUUGCUGCUGCUUCUGUUUCAGCUCAAGAUUUGGGAGAUUUGGCACCAGCACCAGCUCCAGCUAUGGAUAAAGGAGCAGCUUAUUCUUUGGGGAUGUCUGGGGCUGUGAUUUGCUCUUCUCUCUUCUUGUCCAUGCUUGCUUUCUUGAAGCACUAAAGAUCUCAUUUUUUUCCCCAGAUCUGAGAUGAGAUUUAUUGUUUAUACAUUAUGGGUUUUUGACAGAUUGAGCCGAGAGUUUGUUAAUUAUUUGAUUCAUUGUUUUAGUUACAGAUUGGAAUAAAGGACUAAUAUGAGCUGUUCUGUAUCACUAUGAUUAUGAUGGGGAACAUUUACAUACAUUGGACUUAAUGUAUAAUUUUGAUUAUUAUUUGGAUUAUAUUUAUAGAGAGGUUCAUUUUUCCAUCU